RNAcentral lists this unclassified non-coding RNA (1253 nucleotides) under Dendronephthya gigantea. RNAcentral's name for it is "zinc finger CCHC domain-containing protein 9-like, transcript variant X1". Lineage: Eukaryota; Metazoa; Cnidaria; Anthozoa; Malacalcyonacea; Nephtheidae. The record is from RNAcentral.
UUUAACAACAUGUGAAAAUGAAAUACUCAUGUUUUAUAUACUAGAAAAACGUAUAUCUUUGCGAUUUUCUUUCCUUGAACAAUAUUAAAGGGGAUUUAAACAUGACAAGGUUUGCAAGAGCUGGAAAAAGAAAGUUCUUAGACGCUUCUACCUGGAAUGAACUAUCAGAAAAUCAGUCAAAUACAAAACCAUCAGCUGUGAAGAAAGAUGCUCCUGUAUCAACCAAAACAAAGAAAAUAGUUUCAAAAGGGAAAAAAAGUUUAACACAAGAGAGAUCUGAGAAGACAGUUUUAGAUCCAAAGAGACAAAAACAAAUUGAAGCUCGUAGAUUAAGAAGAAAGAAGCGAAAGUGUUGUUUUGUUUGUCGACAAUAUGGUCAUCAAGCGUCAGAGUGUCCAAACAAAGAGGAUAUGAAAAUUGGAAGUUGUUUCAAAUGUGGAUCUUUAGAUCACACAACAAAGAACUGCAAAGAAAGUGUUGAUGAUACGUCUUCAGGUUCUUUUCCAUUUGCAAAAUGUUUUAUUUGUCAAGAGAUGGGACAUUUGGCCAGAUCAUGUCCUGAGAAUCCCAGAGGAUUGUAUCCACAAGGUGGAGGAUGUAAAGUUUGUGGCUCUGUUGAACAUUUAAAACGGGAUUGUCCACAAGUUGUAAAGAAGAAGAUUAAAGGAAACGUAACAGAGUCAGUGAUCCUGACAGUACCUGAGGGAUCAAGUCAUAAAAGUGCAGAUGCUGAAGAUAUUGUGGAAAAUGAAAUUCCUAAACACAAAAAGAAACACAAAAAAUCAAAAGGAAAAGUUGUCCAUUUUUGAGAUACCGAAGAAAAACCCAAAGGAUUUGUUGUACUUAAUGGCAAGCUAAAUCUGUUGCGGAUACAAAAUUCUCAGACGCCAGGAAAGUAUUCAAGGUCCUUAAGAGAUGAAACUCAUGAAAGCUUUGUUGGUUUUCGUCUUCACGAUCUGUUACUCUGAAACUGGAGAAGCUUCUUUGGUUCGUGGAGAAGGUAACAACACGAUAAUAGCUCUUUUACCUUUCCACACCCCCACUGCAGACUCGAAGCAAUGUUCAAACGAGCUUCAUUUUAAAUCGGCCGUUCAAAGUCAAGCUUUAGUCUAUGCGGUUAAAAAACUGAAUUCAGACCCAAACUUCGGUGCCAUGAUUUCUCUUGGCUACGAUGUCGAGGAUAUUUGCGGAGAUAAACCUGAACAUUUGCUCAACGUGAUAAACACUUUAUUCAAAAGACACAAAAGACAACA